GACGAACCGUGCGAACGUUGUUCGGAAUCACUGGGCUUAAAGGGCGCGUAGGCGGGCCAUCAAGUCAGAGGUGAAAUCCCCCGGCUCAACCGGGGAACUGCCUUUGAUACUGGCGGUCUGGAGUAAGGUAGGGGCAUGCGGAACUGAUGGUGGAGCGGUGAAAUACGUAGAGAUUGGGAAGAACACCAGUGGCGAAGGCGGCUAUCUGGACGGUUUCUGACACUAAGACUCGAAAGCGUGGGGAGCAAACAGG
This 253-nucleotide ribosomal RNA is filed under the name uncultured bacterium. RNAcentral describes it as "partial 16S ribosomal RNA". It matches the Rfam family "Bacterial small subunit ribosomal RNA", at positions 524 to 776 of the family's 1533-position model. The record is from RNAcentral.